CUACGGGUCGCAGCAGUGAGGAAUAUUGCACAAUGGGGGGAACCCUGAUGCAGCAACGCCGCGUGGAGGAUGACGCAUUUCGGUGUGUAAACUCCUUUUAUAUGUCAAGAAAAUGACGGUAGCAUAUGAAUAAGCACCGGCUAACUCCGUGCCAGCAGCCGCGGUAAUACGGAGGGGCAAGCGUUACUCGGAAUCACUGGGCGUAAAGGACGCGUAGGCGGGUUGGAAAGUCAGGUGUGAAAUCCUACAGCUUAACUGUAGAACUGCACUUGAAACUUCUAAUCUAGAGUAUGGGAGGGGGAGAUGGAAUGAGUGGUGUAGGGGUAAAAUCCGUAGAUAUCACUAGGAAUACCUAAAGCGAAGGCGAUCUCCUGGAACAUUACUGACGCUAAGGCGUGAAAGCGUGGGGAGCAAACAGGAUUAGAUACCCGCGUAGUC
RNAcentral lists this ribosomal RNA (438 nucleotides) under uncultured bacterium. RNAcentral's name for it is "partial 16S ribosomal RNA". It matches the Rfam family "Bacterial small subunit ribosomal RNA", at positions 339 to 795 of the family's 1533-position model. The record is from RNAcentral.